UACGGGGGGAGCAAGCGUUGUUCGGAUUUACUGGGCGUAAAGGGCGCGUAGGCGGCACCGCAAGCCGACUGUGAAAUCUCCGGGCUUAACCCGGAAAGGUCAGCCGAUACUGCGGGGCUAGAGUGCAGAAGGGGCAACUGGAAUUCUCGGUGUAGCGGUGAAAUGCGUAGAUAUCGAGAGGAACACCUGCGGCGAAGGCGGGUUGCUGGGCUGACACUGACGCUGAUGCGCGAAAGCUAGGGGAGCGAACAGG
Molecule: ribosomal RNA, 253 nt
Filed under: uncultured bacterium
Lineage: Bacteria
Description: partial 16S ribosomal RNA
Rfam family: Bacterial small subunit ribosomal RNA
Source: RNAcentral